UGCCAGCAGCCGCGGUAAUACAGAGGUCUCAAGCGUUGUUCGGAAUUACUGGGCGUAAAGCGUGCGUAGGCGGCGAGGUAAGUCAGAUGUGAAAGCUCAGGGCUCAACCCUGAUACUGCAUCCGAUACUGCCUUGCUAGAGUAGUGGAGGGGAGUCUGGAAUUCACGGUGUAGCAGUGAAAUGCGUAGAUAUCGUGAGGAACACUAGUGGCGAAGGCGAGACUCUGGACACUUACUGACGCUGAGGCACGAAGGCCAGGGUAGCGAAAGGGAUUAGAUA
RNAcentral lists this ribosomal RNA (279 nucleotides) under uncultured bacterium. RNAcentral describes it as "partial 16S ribosomal RNA". It matches the Rfam family "Bacterial small subunit ribosomal RNA", at positions 506 to 784 of the family's 1533-position model. The record is from RNAcentral.